Long non-coding RNA from Schistocerca serialis cubense, 2708 nucleotides. RefSeq lists it as uncharacterized. Lineage: Eukaryota; Metazoa; Arthropoda; Insecta; Orthoptera; Acrididae. The record is from RefSeq and is a predicted model, not a curated record. The transcript is spliced from 3 exons.
AGUUCCAGGGUUGCUGUUCGUAGUUACAGUUCGUAGUGGAGACCAGCCUGCGAGAUGUAGUCUACACGUGAAGUCACCUAUAGCCUUCGCAUGCUGACAAGUGUUUCCUACAGUGAUUGACGUUGUGGCGCCCAGAUGCAGUCAGUGAACCAGAUUACGGAACUGAUGAAGGGGUUCAUCAAACCCAGACGGCAGCAACUGAAAUACGAAAUCAGACUCCGUCACCCACUGCACCGUCACAAGCAGCACAGUGUUCACAGAUGCCUCGAAAAUUUCAAGAAGAAAAGGACGACUAUUCGGAAUAUUUGCCACAAUUUGAAGCACACCUGGCCGCUCACCAAGAUAACGCAGCCCACACUUCAUCUGGUGACCUGGGUUCCUGUGUCGCCACUAUCAGGCCGCAGAUCCGUGUAACUGGAACCAACGCCUCGGCCAGCACCGAGUGAACAACAAACGUCUUAUGGGGAUGGUCCACUCCACACCAACGCCUACGAAGGGGCCACCGUCGCACACUACGACGCCACUGCGGGUCAACACCAUGCAGAUUGUGCUCCAUUGCCGGAUGCUGGAGUGUGUCCUCUGCCUCAUUUGUUUGUUGGCAUUCCGGAACGGUUGCAACGCGAAUACUGGGGAACGAGGGGACCUUGGCACCAUCUAGAGACUCGGCUCUACUGGCUCCCAUUCCCUCGUCGUGAAUGCAUCCACACCUCCCAACCUCUUCUCCCCCUCCCCACUGUCAUAGCAGCAACCGACACUACACGACAACACGAGGGGGGAGGUGUUUUGUCCUCACUAAUGGACGCAACCGGAGCUGUCGCACUGAGACAGUUUCCAACUGGCGCCACCAACCACAAGCAUGCCCCAAUCAGCAACCACUGCGCCGCCGGCGGUGAGGUGGUUUUGCGAUAAGCAGCAGCCACAGGUAGCAACAGAUCGUUCAUAUUCAGCAUUGAUGUACGGCAGUUCUAGCACAGAGUUCCAGGGUUGCUAUUUGUACAUAUAGUUUGUAGGCACCAGCCUUCGAGAGUUAGUCUACAAAUGUCCACAAGCACAUCCAACGAGUUGCUGUACAACUUUAGUUAAAUAUCGCAGCGCAGUAAAUUGUAUAUUUGUGUGUGUCACUAAUUUGUUUGCACUGUCACAGUUUCCUAAGCCCAAAACGAUGUAUGCAAGCCUUACUACCCAGACGACCCAUACACAUCAGUAUUAGAUUUAUGUUGUAAUGGAAGACAUUUGUCAUCUUCAAUUCAUAAUGGCAACUUUACGCUAUUGCACACUGGAAACUACAAGGCAAUUCAUCCCUUGCAUGACCAUUUUACUGCAAAAUUAUAACAACCUGCCCUGUUUCAUAAUUGGUUACAGAUAAGCAUCAAACAAUAUUCUAAGAAAUUGCUCCCCUACCUCACCAGGGUAUACAAAAAUUGCAACAAACAGCCACAUGUACAAAAUAUUUGUCAUCUUCUGCUGAAAAUGCUAACUCACACGCCAAACAGUGGAAACUACAGUGCUAAACAGAGAAGACUGUGAUACUCGACAUAAACAAAAAUGACAUUCAGAAAUGAAAUAAUAUUUUAACACCAGAUGCUGACAGUGAAUAUUCCAUAGUUAGGCAGUGAGCAUCACCUAUUGGAUCGCAAGUAGUAUAUUUGGUUACAGAUAAGCACGAAAUAAAAUUGUGACAAAAUGCUUCAUACAUCACCGUGUUGCUGGAAAAUUGUAACAAAUUGCCCUACAUAACCGUUUUCAUUACAUCAAGUCUUGCAGCUCGCAAAAGAAAAUGUUUUAGACCAACAGUAGAUUCUGUUACCAAAUAGCAUCUUAAAAAUGUAGAUAUUAAAUCUGAACUAAAUACAAACACAGCAGAAGCAAUCAGUAACAGCUAUAACCCAGAGCUAGUCAGUGAGAUAUAUAAAAAGAAUUCCAUACAAAGUAGAAAAGCAUUAAAGACACAAUCACACUUACAAAGACUGAAACAAAAAAGAAAGAUAAUCUGUAUUACCUCUGUACUUGGUACAUGUUUCAGAUAAAUAUGCACUAUAAGUUAUGCAAUAUGGAAAGCAAAUGUCAAAAUAGGCUUCUAUACUAUUUUUAGUUACAAAUUAGAAGCCAACAUCAUUCAUAAAAUAGUCAAAACACAACGACAUAAGCAUUCUGGCGUUUACAAAAUCGAAUGCUGCAAAUGUAGUAAAACCUACAUUGAACAGACAGGCAGAACCUUUAAAAUAGGGUACACAGAAUACACAAAUACAAGCGAAAAUAACAUUUAAGAUUUUGGCAUGCACCUCAAACAAAAUAGACACUCCACUGAAAAUAUUAGAAGAAAUCUCACUGUUUUACUCAAUGUCCUCAAAGGCCAAUUAAUGGAAAUUGCAGAAGAAAGACAAAUACACAUUCACAUGACGAACUACCAAAAACAAAUGCUAACUGAACAAACAGAACUAUGCAGCAAAACGUUCAUGGAAAAUUUCCAUACCACCUUAACCAGCAUGUGAAAGGCACUCCUCCAAGCAUUAAUCACCAAAUAUGCGACUGAAAACGAUUCAUAAAAACCUACACUAGCACCUUAAUCUGCAUAUGAAUAGCACUCCAUUCUAACUUAAUCAUUCAGCGAGAUUAGAAACAGUACACUGAAAAUUAUACCAGUAUAACAAUAAUGCUGUAUGUAGAUUCCACUGAAACACAAAUGAAACAAUAAGCUGAUUCUUAAA